This is a long non-coding RNA of Oncorhynchus keta (chum salmon), 756 nucleotides long. RefSeq lists it as uncharacterized. The record is from RefSeq and is a predicted model, not a curated record. The transcript has 4 exons. Lineage: Eukaryota; Metazoa; Chordata; Actinopteri; Salmoniformes; Salmonidae.
UUCAGCCAUCUAUUUCCUGUGUUUGAGAGGUGUAUUUCAGCCAUCUAUUUCCUGUGUUUAAGAGGUGUUUUUCAGCCAUCUAUUUCCUGUGUUUGAGAGGUGUUUUUCAGCCAUCUAUUUCCUGUGUUUGAGAGGUGUUUUUCAGCCAUCUAUUUCCUGUGUUUGAGAGGUGUUUUUCAGCCAUCUAUUUCCUGUGUUUGAGAGGUGUUUUUCAGCCAUCUAUUUCCUGUGUUUGAGAGGUGUUUUUCAGCCAUCUAUUUCCUGUGUUUGAGAGGUGUUUUUCAGCCAUCUAUUUCCUGUGUUUGAGAGGUGUUUUUCAGCCAUCUAUUUCCUGUGUUUGAGAGGUGUUUUUCAGCCAUCUAUUUCCUGUGUUUGAGAGGUGUUUUUCAGCCAUCUAUUUCCUGUGUUUGAGAGGUGUUUUUCAGCCAUCUAUUUCCUGUGUUUGAGAGGUGUUUUUCAGCCAUCUAUUUCCUGUGUUUGAGAGGUGUUUUUCAGCCAUCUAUUUCCUGUGUUUGAGAGGUGUUUUUCAGCCAUCUAUUUCCUGUGUUUGAGAGGUGUUUUUCAGCCAUCUAUUUCCUGUGUUUGAGAGGUGUUUUUCAGCCAUCUAUUUCCUGUGUUUGAGAGGUGUUUUUCAGCCAUCUAUUUCCUGUGUUUGAGAGGUGUUUUUCAGCCAUCUAUUUCCUGUGUUUGAGAGGUGUUUUUCAGCCAUCUAUUUCCUGUGUUUGAGAGGUGUUUUUCAGCCAUCUAUUUCCUGUG